Molecule: ribosomal RNA, 274 nt
Filed under: uncultured bacterium
Lineage: Bacteria
Description: partial 16S ribosomal RNA
Rfam family: Bacterial small subunit ribosomal RNA
Source: RNAcentral
AUACGGAGGGUGCGAGCGUUAAUCGGAAUUACUGGGCGUAAAGGGUGCGUAGGCGGCUUGAUAAGUCGGAUGUGAAAGCCCCGGGCUUAACCUGGGAAUUGCAUUCGAUACUGUCAGGCUAGAGUAUGUCAGAGGUUGGCGGAAUUCCUGGUGUAGCGGUGAAAUGCGUAGAUAUCAGGAGGAACACCAGUGGCGAAGGCGGCUAACUGGGGCAAUACUGACGCUGAGGCACGAAAGCGUGGGGAGCAAACAGGAUUAGAUACCCGAGUAGUCC